Molecule: long non-coding RNA, 295 nt
Organism: Epinephelus moara (kelp grouper)
Lineage: Eukaryota; Metazoa; Chordata; Actinopteri; Perciformes; Serranidae
Exons: 3
Source: RefSeq, a predicted model, not a curated record
GCUCUAAUGGGACGGCUUCAUGUGUUGCGUGGCCGUCUUUCAGGCACAUGGAACAAAUACACGCCUGGUCUGUGUAACAGAAGAAUUCAAACAUCUUGUCGUGCUUCUUACACACCCUGUCCUCCAGGUUUGACACAGGAUCAAUCAGCUGGUGCUUUUUAAGGGUUGUGACUCUCUGAUGAGGCUCCAGGUGAGUCUGGCAGUAUGAGGCCAAACACACCAGGCACGUCUUCUGUGCUUUGCGCUUCGGCUCAAGGCAGAUGUCACAGGGCACCUCCCCUGGUUUGGCAGGGAU